CACACCAACGCUUGCGUUGCCACACGAAUGGAACAGCUUAGGAUAUCUCUAAUCGACCACACGAUGGCUUCAUCUCCUCCAUCUUCCACCGUGAUCCAUAUGCCUCUAAGUCCAAACACCAACGGCCAGCCGACGGCUCCGGCAACGCCCAAGGACGCCGGUGACGUCCCAACUACGGCGCCAGCAGCAGCCAGCGCGACGGACAAGCCGCCUACGGUGCCAGCAGCAGCCAUGGCGACGGACAAGGUCAUGUCAAGCGCGGCGAACCUCGCGCAGCUCCUGCCGACGGGCACGGUGCUGGCGUACCAGGCGCUGUCCCCAUCCUUCACCAACCACGGCAAGUGCUUCUCCUCCAAUCAGUGGCUCACCGCGGCGCUGGUCAUCGUCCUCACCAUCUCGUGCGUCCUCUUCUCCUUCACCGACAGCGUCCUCGGCCGCGACCAGAAGCUCUACUACGCCAUCGCCACGCCACGCGGUUUCAACGUCUUCAACUUCUCAGACGAAGAGGAGACGCUGCAGUGGACUCCCGCCGAGUUCCGGAGGCUCCGCAUCCGGCCGCUCGACUUCGUACGUGCCGUCUUCACGGCCCUGGUGUUCCUCACGAUGGCUUUCAGCGACGUGGGGCUGCAGAACUGCUUCUUCCCCAACCCUGGCAUGAACACUCAGGAGCUUCUCAAGAACCUGCCUCUGGGCAUCGCGUUUCUGUCCAGUUUUGUGUUCAUGAUCUUCCCCACAAAAAGGAAGGGCAUCGGCUACAACGACACCACUCCUUGCCAAAAGCUCACUUGA
RNAcentral lists this ribosomal RNA (789 nucleotides) under Triticum aestivum (bread wheat). Its description in RNAcentral is "partial small subunit ribosomal RNA". The record is from RNAcentral. Lineage: Eukaryota; Viridiplantae; Streptophyta; Magnoliopsida; Poales; Poaceae.